GACGAACGCUGGCGGCGUGCUUAACACAUGCAAGUCGAACGGAAAGGCCCUGCUUUUGUGGGGUGCUCGAGUGGCGAACGGGUGAGUAACACGUGAGUAACCUGCCCUUGACUUUGGGAUAACUUCAGGAAACUGGGGCUAAUACCGGAUAGGAGCUCCUGCUGCAUGGUGGGGGUUGGAAAGUUUCGGCGGUUGGGGAUGGACUCGCGGCUUAUCAGCUUGUUGGUGGGGUAGUGGCUUACCAAGGCUUUGACGGGUAGCCGGCCUGAGAGGGUGACCGGGCACCAUGGGACUGAGGUAGGGCCCAGACUCCUACGGGAGGCAACAGGGGGGAAUAUUGCCCAAUGGGGCGGAGCCUGAUGAAGCAACCCCGGGUGCGGGAAGAACGCCUUCGGGGUGGAAACCGCUUUCGGCUGUGACCAAGCGGUAGUGACGGUAAUGGGUAAAGAAGCACCGGCUAACUACGUG
This 468-nucleotide ribosomal RNA is filed under the name uncultured bacterium. RNAcentral describes it as "partial 16S ribosomal RNA". It matches the Rfam family "Bacterial small subunit ribosomal RNA", at positions 28 to 507 of the family's 1533-position model. The record is from RNAcentral.